CAGGAAAGUUAGAGAUCUGAGCAAGCAGAGGAAAAAAAAAUCAUGGAAGCCUUCUUUGAGGAGGUGGGGCAGAGCAUGAGCUGACCUUGGACAAUGGGAGCCUGCUAGGGAAGGGCAAUUCUCCAAGACUCUUGAUGCCCUUUUUCUAUAAGUCAGUUGACACAGGCACUGAGCUGGUAAGACAAGACUUCAUUGAGCAGAGUCUUAAAGGACAGAAAGGAAUUUCCAAGGCUGACAAGGAUGUGAGGGGAAGAGGUUACCCCACCUGAACAUCCUCCUGGGAGGAAGCAGGGCAUGAAUCCGAAGGAAUUAGUGAAGUCCUUCCAUAGCCAUCCUUGAUGGUGGAGCGGGGGUGUGUCUCAGCAAAAAGCCACAGACUUAUAACUCAUGUAAGCUGUUUCUCAAAUAUCUGCCCAGUGGUGCUGGUGAGAGCCCGAUGAAAAUGCACAAAGAGUGACACAACCUGGCCACCACUAAGAAGUAAAGAGCUCAGUGAUUUCUCAUCUAUUCUUUCACAGCUACACACCAAUGAAAACAAACACCCGAAACCGUCUUCUGUGGCAUUUGUCAGUUGAAAAAGAACACCUUAGACUUAACUUUUAAAAUGUCUGUAAUAAAAAUAUAAUUCCAUUUUCUUUUCUCGUUUGGUUCUGUUAUGCUCAGUGUUACUUGUGACAGAUAAAACAUUAUUUACAAC
RNAcentral lists this long non-coding RNA (697 nucleotides) under Homo sapiens (human). Its description in RNAcentral is "HSALNT0163366". Lineage: Eukaryota; Metazoa; Chordata; Mammalia; Primates; Hominidae. The record is from RNAcentral.